Molecule: long non-coding RNA, 2115 nt
Organism: Tyto alba (common barn owl)
Lineage: Eukaryota; Metazoa; Chordata; Aves; Strigiformes; Tytonidae
Exons: 5
Source: RefSeq, a predicted model, not a curated record
AAACAUGACAUUUUUCUCAGUUUGUGCAUCUUGGGUCAACACAAAGAGACAGAAUGCCUUCCUCCUGUUUUCCCUCUUUUGUUUCAUGAGAUGAUGUGCUUUGAAAAGUUUUCCUGAAGGUGUUUGAAAGUGCUGUAGAUCCUGCUACAGUGACUGAAAUGCUUGGAAGUGCUCUUAUUUCCUAAUUAUUAAGCAGUUUGUUCCAGGGAAAGCCCACAAAACCAAAUAGUCCUUGCAUUGCUUUCUAUUGAAGGUAGUUGUACAACAGUGAAUUUCUCUGCCAGGGCCAAAACAGAACAGAGAAUCAAAGAUCACCCAAAUGAAGGAACUGAUCACUAACACAAUGCGAGACAUCAGUGAACAGGGGUGAAAGCUAUGGAAGGCACACAAGGUCCUUGGAAUCACAAGCUCCUUCUCUUAAACACUGGACACCACUUCUGUGAACUCUGCAGAGAAAAUCAGCAGCAGCCAUCAAGACUGAACCUGGGGUCUGCUGAGUGCAAAUCAGAAAAUGAGGACAGACCAUCUUUUGUUAUCAGAUAUGGGAAACCACUUAAUAACAAAAACUAAACCUCCACGUGCUCACAUCCAGAAAUGCUGCCGGAUUCAACUGCAGAUCAGCCCUGGCUUUCCCGGUGCUAUCGUUGCAAGAUCAGACAGCAACUCUCUACUCCUCCUGGGUCACCUGUCCUGCCUUCCACUCCUUAUAAUCUUCCUUUUUAUGCCUGAGUUCUCCUGGGAGCACCUUACUCACCCAUGCCGGUCUCCUGCUGCUUUUCUUUGAUUUCCUACUUGUUGGGAUGGAGCUUUCUUCACCUUGGAGGAGGUGAUCCUUGAAUAUCAACCAGCUCUUGUGAAGAACCCUCUUGUGAAAGAACCCUCUUCUUUCCUGGAACAUAUUCCAUGGGAUUUUGCAAAGCAGGCUCCUCAGGAGGCCCAAGUCUGCUCUCCUGACGUCCAGGGUUGUGUUCCUGGUUUUUGCCUUGAUAGGGCCUCUCCGGGUCCUGAACUCCAAUGCCUCAUGGUCACUCAGGAUGGCCCCGACCUCCACAUCCACAGCCAGUUCUUCCUGGUGUGAACUAACGGGUAGCGUAGCAUCCCAUGACCUGACUGAAACAUCCACGCAAUAUUUAGCAACAGAAACAGACUCCUAGUCUUGCUGACCUGAGUUUUGUCUUUAUACUCUUUGCCACGUCACUGCCAGAUGUGUUAAAGAAGAAUCACAGAAUCACAGAAUAUCUCAAGUUGGAAGGCACCUACGAGGAUCAUUGAGUCCAACUCCUCGCAGAAAUACCUCCAACUAAGUCAUACAACUAAAAGAGCAUUGUCUAGACACUCCGUGAACUCUGGCAGGCUUGGUGCCAUGACCACUUCCCUGGGGAGCCUGUUCCAGUGACCAAGGACCGUCUCAGUGAAGAACCUUUUCCUAAUGUCCCCUCUGAACUUGCCCUGACACAGCUUCUUUCCAUCUCCUCGUGUCCUGUUGCUGGUCACCAGAGAGAGGAGAUCAGCACCUCCUGCUCUGCUGCCCACCCUGAAGAAGUGGGCGGUGAGACUUGCUGAGACCACACAGAAGCUCCAGGCCCUACCUGGCUUUGGGGGACACCAGCAGUCCUUUGAGGGGAUUUAUAUUUUAGCACGGAGAGCAGAGAAAGGGUAGUGGCUGGCCGUCGGGACCACUGGUCUUGCACUGAGGAUGUAAUCAGUGCUUAGAAGAGGGAAAAGCGAGUCUUCUUCCUGCUUGGGGCCAGCGGUCAUCAAGCCAGCAGGAACCGGGAGCAGAGGACAUGUUUCUCCGAGGAAGAAAGAAACUGCCUCUCACAGUAGCAACUCUGAUGGCUUCCUUCAUAGCAUCAUUUCUUAACUUUUAAAAGAAGACGUCUUGCUUUAGAAUGCUUUUACCUGCAGAGAGUUGAGGGCGAGUGCAGGAAACCGAGAGUAGAAAAGUUGUUCUCGCUUCCAGAAAUAAUAUGUCACUUUAUGCUCCUAAAACUUGUGUAUGUCACUUUAUACUCCUAAAACUUGUGUAUGUUUCUCGCUGUACAUUUUGUCCUGAAAUGUUACGUUGUCUGGGAAGUCUCUCUUUAUGAAAUUAAAUCUAAGCAGCAGAGCAAA